CCUACGGGAGGCAGCAGUGAGGAAUAUUGGUCAAUGGGCGCGAGCCUGAACCAGCCAAGUCGCGUGAGGGAAGACGGCCCUAUGGAUUGUAAACUUCUUUUGUAGUGGAGUAAAACACGCUACGUGUAGCGUUUUGAGAGUACCAUAUGAAAAAGCAUCGGCUAACUCCGUGCCAGCAGCCGCGGUAAUACGGAGGAUUCGAGCGUUAUCCGGAUUUAUUGGGUUUAAAGGGUUCGCAGGCGGAUGAUAAAGUUAGCGGUAAAAUGUGGGGCCUCAACCUCUUCGAGCCGUUGAAACUGGUUGUCUUGAGUUAGUGAGAAGUAGGCGGAAUGUGUGGUGUAGCGGUGAAAUGCAUAGAGAUCACGCAGAACUCCGAUUGCGAAGGCAGCUUACCGA
RNAcentral lists this ribosomal RNA (396 nucleotides) under uncultured bacterium. RNAcentral's name for it is "partial 16S ribosomal RNA". It matches the Rfam family "Bacterial small subunit ribosomal RNA", at positions 338 to 732 of the family's 1533-position model. The record is from RNAcentral.